UGAUGUGUUUCAUGAUGGCGUCGUGGAUUCGGCGUGUUUGACGGCGGUUCGUGGAUUCGGAUCGUGGGCUUGUGGAUUCGAGUGGCGUUCGUGGAUUCGGAAGUGUGCGAGGCGUUCGUGGAUUCGAACGUGAGGGCGUGGACAACCCAGAGGAUUGCGCGAGAUUCAUAGGAGGUUAAGAGAGGUUGAGUCCGUGGAGUCGGUAAUCACCUUGUAAUCUUUUCUCUUAGUGAAUUAUUUUUUUUCGCGUGUUGGUUCUGUGGGUUUUUCUCUAAGUUGGAGUUUUUUCACGUAAAUCUCGGUGUGAUUUUUAUUUUUCGCAUUAUUUUUAUCGCAUUGAGAUUUGUGGUUUUUGGCUAUUACACCUAUUCACCCCCCUCUAGGUGAUAG
Molecule: long non-coding RNA, 390 nt
Filed under: Ananas comosus (pineapple)
Lineage: Eukaryota; Viridiplantae; Streptophyta; Magnoliopsida; Poales; Bromeliaceae
Description: long non-coding RNA (ACOM_LNC027850)
Source: RNAcentral